This 479-nucleotide ribosomal RNA is filed under the name uncultured bacterium. RNAcentral's name for it is "bacterial SSU rRNA". It matches the Rfam family "Bacterial small subunit ribosomal RNA", at positions 330 to 801 of the family's 1533-position model. The record is from RNAcentral.
ACCGUACUCCUCCGGGAGGCAGCAGUGGGGAAUUUUGGACAAUGGGGGCAACCCUGAUCCAGCAAUGCCGCGUGAGUGAAGAAGGCCUUCGGGCUGUAAAGCUCUUUUGUCAGGGAAGAAACGGUAGUAGCUAAUAUCUAUUACUAAUGACGGUACCUGAAGAAUAAGCACCGGCUAACUACGUGCCAGCAGCCGCGGUAAUACGUAGGGUGCAAGCGUUAAUCGGAAUUACUGGGCGUAAAGCGUGCGCAGGCGGUUGUGUAAGUGAGAUGUGAAAUCCCCGGGCUCAACCGGGGAGUUGCAUUUGAGACUGCACGGCUAGAGUGUGUCAGAGGGGGGUAGUAUUCCACGUGUAGCAGUGAAAUGCGUAGAUAUGUGGAGGAAUACCGAUGGCGGAGGCAGCCCCCUGGGAUAACGCUGACGCUCAUGCACGAAAGCGUGGGGGGCAAAGAGGAUUAGAUACUCUUGUAGUCAUUGAC